AACACAUAAUCUCUGGUGCUGGAAUUUCUCAAAGGUGUUUUUUUCUGCAGUGGUGAUGCUUCAUGUUAUAGUAGAGAGGGGAAGUAGGAGCCCUCACCUGUUCCAACACCUGCCCAGUAUGUUUGCUUCCUGCCUCAUAUAGUUCUGGCCACGUGCUUGCUGUGAAGUACUGGACUAAUGCUUGUUUGUUUUAUGUUCCUACAAAGCUGAAUUAUUGUAUAGAUUAAUAUUUCAUAUUCUCUUUUGUGUGUAACAGGUAUAUUCUGAGUGGAAACACGUAUUACUGGAGAACUGCCUGAAAUGUACUGGAGUUUUGAAUCCUGCUCUCAUUUGGCAUAUACUUUUUAUCGUAAUACACUUCUUUGCUGCUGAUCUUAUUCCUUAUUGAAACAGCCCAUUUCUGCAUGAUUCAAGUUCAUUUCUUGGAACUGGUUUCAAUAACUUUCAUUUAUUUAAACUAUUAAAAUAGUUUGAAAUAUGGAGAACAGUACUACUCGCUUCCUAUUCAAAUUGCAGCUUUAACCAUUGAAAUAAGGUUGAAAUAAAGUGUCUUGGGUUCUGCUUGACCUGAUUCAAUGUAACUGUUAAAAUGUAGAAUUACGAAAAGAUAAAGUCAGAUGCAUUCCCUAUUUGGCUCAAACUAUUGAAAUGGGGAUGGUAUGAGUUUGCACAGCUAUUAAUAUGUUAUUAAUUCUGGAUAUAUUAUAUACUACUUUUAAGCCUUAUCUGAAGAACUGGAUAUUCUUUUGUAACAUGUUCUUUUGCUUUUCUAUACUCUGACAUUUUGUAGAUGAUCCAUUGCUCAAUGUGUAAAGUCUAAAUGGCUCUUCUUAUUCAAUCAAGUGCUAUGUCAUUGAAUGUGUUACAAAGAGACUAUAUGCUCUGCACAUUAAGUUUCGAGUCUGGUGCUUACUGCAAAAUUCAGACUUUUCAGAUGCUAAAUAUGUGCUAUAUCUUGCAAGCUAAAAAUGGAAGACUUCUGGCAGUUUUCAGUUGUUGAGAUUAUAAAUGACUCUCUUAUGUCCAUCCUUCUCUCUUUUGUCCAUUGGCUUCCAUAUUAGGCCCCAGUUCUUUGCAGUGUUAAGUAUCCCUGUGGCUCCCAUAGGCUAGAAAGCAGUAAUGCCAUCCCAUUCCUGUUUUUCUGAAUUGGGCUUCUGUUAUUUUGACUGUCUGUAAAAUAUCCCAGGGGAAACGAUAGCUUUGAACUAAGCGAUUGCUUAUUUUUUCUCUUUGAUUUGCUACAGAAGCCUCCUUCACUUAUUUGUAAGUUACUAACUCUAUAAGACCCUCAUGUUACUUAAUAUUGUUUCCACUAUUUCUGUAGGUAGGUUUUCAGGUAUGCAAAUAGUGGAUCCUAAAAUAUUCUGCGUGAACAAUAAUUUCUGUGACAGGCAGCAUUCAUCAGUGAGACUGAAUGCUUUCAAUUUAAAGAAAGAAUAAAUAAAAAUAAUUAAACAGAAAUGCUUCUACCAGAAGCAGUAUCAAAUUUCAUCAGAUCUAAACGGUAUGUUAAAAAACCCUUGUCAACAAAUGAAAAUUCAGAGGAUCCCUAUCAUGUUAUGGAAUUGCACUCUCCCAGAGGCAAGGAUCAAAAUGCUUCCCUUGAUUCACAGGGCUUGUGAAGGUGUAGAAGCUAUGGCCAGCCUUCAGCCUUAUAUUUCCUCUUGGCAGCAGCUGCUCACCUGUAGGAUCUGGAGCACAUGUUUGGGCAGGAGAAAGGUUUGGGAGAGCCAAACUUUUGGAUGGUCUCUUGAUGGAAUGGUUGUUUUAAGGGCAGAUGGUAUGGGAGCACACAUGGUUAUGGCUCAGCAUGGCCACUGUGAAGCUGCAGGAUGUCAGGCUAAGCACAUGCUGCUGCUGCUUAGAAAAGAGAAGAUUUAAGCCAUGAAAGGACUGCAGAGCAAGCGUGGGGGAAUGCAGAAAGGACUUCUCAGCCUAAGACAUGCCAUCCUUCUCUCUUUUGAAACUGUGUAACUGUUGGUAAAAAUGUUUUUGAUAAUACUCACAACUGAAAUAGAUAUCUAUUUUGCUAUCAACCACUUUGUCAGUCUUCAUUCAGUGAAGAUUGUUUGCUCUGUUCAUUGCUGCCUAGCAGGAGAGAAGGUGAUGUGGAGUUGGGAGAUUGUGGACAAGUGAGAUGAAUUCUCAGACUUUGCCUGAAGAAGCUGUGUUUCUUGAUACACAGGUGAUAACUAUUUGUCCUUUUACUGGCUGCCUCCACUCCUCACACUCUCCACCAGCCCUAUGAACGAAUGGGUCUUCAGCAUCGCAGCCAUGUUUUACAAAGGCAACAGUUGUAGUGAUGAGAUGCUGACAAGUUUAAGGCAAAAUUCUGCAUAUUUAUCUUUAGAUGAAAAGCAUCAUUAGAUUAUGCCCCACGUUCAUAUGAAGUUGAUAGUAACAUGUGCAAUGAGCCUGUCCUCUCUUUUAUGACAUUACAGAAUCAAGUGCUUUAGUUAUAAAUAGGGCAAGAUAUGAGGCAGACUGCAUACUUCCUUGAGCUGGGAGACAUGCACCAUAAAUCAGGACAUGUUUGCGUAAUUACAAGAUAUCAGAACAAGUCCCAGGGGUAUUUUUAGCAUUGUAAAAUGUUCUGCAGGAAAGCAGGUCUAUCUAACAUUAUCCUUUUCCUUUCUCCACUCCUAGGCACCAGGCUGUUUUGUUGGUCAGAUUACUUGACGUGGAAGCAGUGUGAUAAAUUACAACUGCAGGAGUAUGGUGUGUUUAAUUGCACAAUCAGAGUUUAAAACUUCUGAUUAAAUUGUGCAAAGCCUCUGAACUAAUUGUCAGAAAAUGUCUUCAGGGCUGUGUACUUUCCUAGCAGACAUUUGGAUGUAAAAUCAAAGGCUUGUUUUUUUUUCUACUGGUGUGGAAUAUUUUGGGUAGGUAGUUGGGACCCUGUGUGAAUGAGUGGCUUUGGGAAACAGAAAGAAAACUGUUGUUGCCACGAUUGAAUAUCUCUAUUUGUAAGAAAUGUGCAUGAAGUGGUUGGAAGGAUUUGACAGGAGAGAGGAAAGGUCUGUUUUGUGUUUAAAUACUUGUUUACAUUCUUUUCCUAAUGUGUGUGUCAAUAUGAAUUCAAUCAUAAUUAUACCUCUUAUGUUCUUAAGGCCAUUCUCAUCCUUUUCUCUGUUCUCAGGACAGCCUUGGCAUCACUGAAUUUUGGUGAGAUGCUGUUACUCUCCAUGCACCUCGACCUGUGACAAUACUCAGUGUUAGCUUGUGACUUCUGGGCUGCCACAGUUUGGAAUCAGCUUGAUGAAAGCCAUCAGCAGGUCUAUCAAGUGCCACAGAUUGACACAGAACUCUUGUCUUGGGCAUUUGUGUUCAUGCCUGUAAAGCAAUGAAAAGCAGACCAAAAGGAGAGAGAGAGGGAUGGAUAGCAAGGCCCCACCUGUUUGUAUGGUCCACCUGGGCUGCUGUGGCUGUGUUGGCAGACAGAAAAUAAACCACCACUAAUAAUAUAGACCUCAGCUAUAGGGAAAGCUGUGCCCUACUCACGUAAAAGAAUUUUCUGCACAACUCAUGGGCAAGUGUUCUCCAUUACAGCAUGGUUCAGGCUUAGGCAUGUAAUUAGAGAAUUUCUUUGUUCCUAAGAGCAAACUCAGUCAACAUCAAAGCUGAUAUCAAAACAGAAGGGAGUUUUUUUUCCCUACAUUACUUAGUGUUGAAUUUCUAAUAAGAACCAAACCAAAAUACAAACAACUCACAAAGCAAAAACAAACAAAAACAAAAAAUCACAACAAAGAACCCCAAACAAAUAAAAUAAGCUUUCAUACAAUCCCAGACAAUAACGAUGUGAUAGGUGUGGGGCAAGUAUGAGAUAAUAGGAAGCUCCAAUUUCAUUCACCUCACAGAAGAGGGUCUAUACACAAUGCUAAUUUGCUCUUACAGUGAAAUACUCUGCUGCUGCUACAACAGCUGUAAUCUUUUGAAUGAGAUUCUAAAUAUGAAUUACUUAUUAUCUUUUUUUUUUUUUUUGGUCAUCUGUUCUGAAGAUACAAACACAGACGUCUCUUAAUGUGCUUCGAAAGUUCAAAAGGAAUGACCUCUGUGCAGGUUAAAUUAUCCAAAAUCUCUUACUCUGCUAUACUUCUAAUAUUUGUGGAGCAACUAGCUGUCAUUUAGCUUGAUUUAACCAACUUACUGAUAUCAGUUAAUUGGAUAAUGAGCCACAGGCAAGCUUUAGGCAUCACACAACUAUUUUCCUCUUUUCUUCAUUUACUGGGAGUGAAAAUAUGAUAGAGUUUCCCCAUAUAUUCUGAAAGUAAUGAUUUUAUUCACUCUUGCUGUUCUUAAUUGUCCUCAAAUCAAUUGUUAGAUGACUGUUUGACCACUCAGGAUGCUUGAACAUUUUCACAUGGUGUUUAAAUGACGUGGCUGGCUCCAGUUGGGUCUGUGGGUGUUUGUCAUUAGUAGGUAUUUUAGAAGUUAGUAAUUAAUUAGUACAUUGUCAUUUUAUUCCCUGCUCUAAUAGAUAAGAGUAAUGUCAAAUUUAUAACAUGGUGUGCACUGCUAGAAAUGAUUUUUUUUUUUUCUGGCUUUGUAAGCCAUUUGUAACAGACCCCCAAAUGUUCUGAGAUGAGAUGCAGCACAGACCAAUGGGAACAUUAUCAAUGUGUUUCUAAAGCAGACUUUGUCCACCGCUUAAAAAUAAAUGCAAAAAAAAUUGCUUGCAAAGGCGUUAAACAUUUAACAGCUUUAAAAGUGGUUAUUAAAAUAACUGAGUGGCUCAUUUCCUUAAUCAAGGAGGCUUUUGGAUUAAUUUUUGCAAGAUUUUAAUUAUUCUGUUAUAUGUAAUGGUAAUAUUCCUCUCCAGAUAUCCACAUAUGCUGAUCUCAACAUCAAAACUAAAAAACAUAACUUUACAAAGCAUUCAGCAAGCUUUCUGAUAAAUCUAAUACUUGUAGUUUCAUUGUUGGUUGAAUUACUAUUUGACCCAUAUCUGCCUGUUGGCUUUCUGCUCCCAUCUAGAUACACCAGUUUGUUAAGCCAUACAGAGCCCUACUGAUUUUGAGAGGAGGAUAUGGCUUUCAGCAGCAGCCUAUGGUUCCUGGUCUCCUCAUAGUGAGAUGGACUUCUAGGGUCCCUGGUGGUGUUCAUACCCUGUGCAUCUCAGAGGUAUCUUAUCUGUGAGCAAAUGAUCCUGAAAUGCCUGUGUUACUGCUUAGACUGAGAUCAGGUCUAGGGAGCUGAAAUCUCUCAUUGUCACGGCAUAGAAGUACUGGAUCUGUGACUUUUGAAUCUGUCUACCAGUAUUUGACAUGCAGUUUAAGUGCAUGCUUAGAGUAAUAAAAGGUGUGUAUUGAAGGACGAUGGUAUUUUUUCAGAUUUAUAGUACUAUUGCUUAUUAUUUCAAAGUGCACAAUUUAGGCUUGUUCUUAACAGGAAAAAUGUAACAGUGAAAAAGUUCAUGUUAGUUCCUGAAGUAGAUGCUGAAAUAAGGGUGAGGCUUUUAAAGUUUUAAUGUGUUUCACAACAACUGAUGUUUUCUCUUUUGAGGGAUUAAUGAAACACUUUAAAUCUGCUUUUUGUGAUGGCCUGCAGCACAUUAUUGAGGGUUCAUUAUCUUGUCAAAGCCUGUAAAAUAUGGGACCCUACAGGAGUGAUGAUGAGGCGCACAGUAAGUUGAUAAGGAGUCAGUCCUCUCACAUGGGGCUAGGAGGAAAAAUGCUACAAUAGAUACAGAUGGAAAGUAAAAUACAAGACCCUGUGAGAAUCUACCAGCAGUACUGGUUCUAAAUUUGUUUUAGACAAAUUGGAUUUGUUGCUUUUCAGUUUUCCUUCUGCAAACUCUCCUGUGACUUUAUUGUCAGCUGAAGUGUUUAUUGACUGAGAAGUGCUUGCUUUUUAGUGAUGGAUAUGGUGAUCCUGGUAAACACUUUGGGGAAAUACUGUGAUGCAAUAUGCUGUGUAAGUAUUUAUGUCGCAUAAUGGAGUGGGCAGACACUAAUUUAAAUAAAAACUAGAAUAGAAAUCUCAUUGUUUCAGCAGCCAUUAGUUUCAUUAAAGCUGGUAUAAAGAUAAGAGUUAAAUGAUCUGUGGAUACAUACAAAUGUCUUAAAGUAGAAAAGUAACACCAAAUUCAAUGCCAUUAUUACUGGGACAAGUGCCAGCAUUCUCGUUAUUUUAAAUGACUUCCAAGCUGAGCCCUUAGAGAUUGAUGAGGUAAGCGAUUUCAGAUGGGAAACUUGAUAUCCUCAGUGCUGAAAGGUGUUGAGGGCUCUCACAUGUUAGGGAGCGUGGCCAAACCUGGGAUGCUCUGUGAGGCAGCAGACAAAAACCAAAGGUUAAAGGCAGCUGUGGCCAUUCUUCCAAGUAGGGGAAAAAAGAAAUAUUGCGUGGUGCACUGCAGGAAAGCUGCAGAGUCCACCUCAUAUGAUGAUGAAGUGACUGCUUUGGAAGUUAAAACUACUGGACCCUGUGAUAGCAGACAAACUCACAAGUUUGGCAGAUUUAAAGCGAACACAAAGUAAAAUCUACAUAUAUGUUUUUAAUGCAAUAGUUUAGAAGGUGGAGAUCACUAUAAGAGAUUGCAAAGAGAUAAAUUUGUGAAAGACUGGUUAACUGAUGACUAUUAAAGCUGACAGCUGACAUGCAGCCCUCAGCUGAGAAGACUCAUAAAUCACUGGUUGUUCAAAUGUGGUGAAAUAAACCAGAGGAAAGCCUCUACUCUGCAUCUCUCAUGGUUCCUCAGCCUCUGUUACCGACCGCUACAGAGUCUGGUUGCUUUGUUGUCCUCCCUGUGGAGCCAGUGCUGUGUGACUGACCCUAAACCAAAGUCUAUUUGCAGGGUUGAUCUUAGAGCAGAGAAGUUUUUAUCUUGUAAUGUAUAUUUCAGCUGGGCACAUUGCACUUACCACUAAUGUUGAUCUCUAGCAUCCUGGCUGUGACUUCUCCAGCCAAACUGAUGGGCUGGGCUAUGGGGGCAGGGAGGAACACCUUGGCCAUGUGAGUGCUGCCAGGGGCUUUGGGAAGGGCUGGGAAGCCCUGCAAGACAUUUUGUCUACCUGCAAACGUGGGUGAGAAGAAAGAUGGUGGGAGGGACGGGGGUUGCUGGGAGCACACAUAAAACAUCUGUGUAUUUUAAUUUCUGUUCUAUGGUGGGAAAACUUCACCUGACCUGCUUUCUUGAGAUUUGGAUUUGGAAGACUGAAAAUGGGGCAGAAGAACAUGUACAAUAAGACUGCUGUCAGGGAGGAACAAAAUACCAUUGCUCAGCCGUCUCAGGAAUAGUUUCUGUAGCAGGACAUGUGCAAGGAGAGCUAUGGCGAUUACAAGUAUAGCUGGGAAUUCAGAACUUCAUCUGCACUUUCUAGAAAGUCUCACUUUUGGCCGGUUGCACUGAGGAGUUUUCUCAGGAACUACACAGGGCUUUGUCAUAGUUA
Coturnix japonica (Japanese quail) is the source of this 7388-nucleotide non-coding RNA. Lineage: Eukaryota; Metazoa; Chordata; Aves; Galliformes; Phasianidae. The record is from RefSeq and is a predicted model, not a curated record.